This is an RNA transcript of Peromyscus maniculatus bairdii (prairie deer mouse), 565 nucleotides long. RefSeq lists it as uncharacterized. The record is from RefSeq and is a predicted model, not a curated record. Lineage: Eukaryota; Metazoa; Chordata; Mammalia; Rodentia; Cricetidae.
UGCGCAGGCGCACGCGGGGCCUUGGUGUAUAUAUAAGGAAGGGCCGCCAUCUACCUCGUCCUUUCGUUCCUGAGACGCGCUUUGUGCGUUAUGUCUUGCGCACGCAGUAUGUCUUGUGCACGCGAUAUGUCGCGUCCAUGCGGCAGUUAUUUGCAAAUAGUUGGCAUGGUCAAGCAGGACCGGAGAGGAGACGUCAUCUUUGAGCCUCCAGGAAGAUGAGAAUAACGUACGGUCUUGGACAUCUUAAGGUUUGCUGGCAGCUGAAUUGAAUGGAGGGUAAAUUCCGGAGUAAGAAAGGAUUGGCCUGAGGGAGCCAUGGAUACCAGUGUGUCUGAUCUCCCUUGAUUUCAGUGUCCUGAAACAGGCACUUCUCUGGACACAGACCUGUCUCCUGCUGGCCCCAUCCCACAAGGCAUUUGUACAUUUGGCCCAAGGACCUUGCAGGAUCUGAAGAGGAGUUUUUUUGUUUUGGACUGGGGUGUGGUAUGGUGUGCACUGCUACUGGAAAUACUGAAUAGCAGAAACCUUUGGCCUCUUAAUCUGUAGAAAUAAAAGUCUAACUAGG